UAGUACAAAUAGUAUUAUGCAAUAUUUAGAAAUGAGAACCAAGCUAUUAUAUUUGUUUUGCGUCGUGAUAUGGGCCGCGAAAUCUUGAUGGGCAGUGUACAAAAGACGCGACGCUUUUUGUUCGCCCGCGUAGCUACGCGCCACGUAAUCAGACUACCUCCCCCAGCUUCUCGUUCUUCGCCAUAUAGUGACUAGUGUGCAGUUACCAGUCUACGCAAGUAGGCAACACGUAGAAGGUGGAAGUCAUGCAAGUAUGGAAAAAGGACUGGACAAAGAGCAGAAAGCAAGGGAAAUCGCUGUGAAAUGACUUCCCCUGUGAAGAAAAGAACAACGACGUUGAGACCGACGGCGACGACGGCGACGACGGCGACGACGGCGACGACGGCGACGACGGCGACGACGGCGACGACGACGAUGACGACGAUGACGUCGAGACCGACGGCGAUGCCAGUGACGACGGCAAAAAUUUUGGAACCGACUUCGUUCGUUCCCCCGGGAUAUGUUUCAGCGUCGUUUGUCCCCCCGGGGUAUAUUCCGGCUUCUUUUGUGCCGCCGGGAUACGUUCGAGCAGCAGAAAGCGUAUCCGCGAGACCGAAAAUGGUCUCGCAGCACACUCAGACGCCGGAGAGCCUGAUUGAUCAAAUUAUCCUGCUGAUUUGUCAGUUACUAUUAAUUUCGAAUCUGAUCCAAAUGAAAUAGCACAAAUAAAAUAAAUAACUUCGCAAGUAACAGAUGAACAGUUUGAUGCUGAUGAGAUAGGACAGAUAGAACAAACAGAUACAGCGUCUAUUGAGUAUUCAAAUAUCACAGACACCGAACAACCAAAUUGUUCAACAUCAUUAGUUCCACAGCGCAAAUUGAAACGCAAAUUAUCAACUAAGAAAAAGAAGAAAGAUUCCAUUUUACAUCUUUUCCACGUAUCUCAACAGUCACAGUUAUCUGUGCGCGACAAACAUGUAUACAAUCAAAUAAUACACUUAAUAAAAAUUUCAAGGCAACAGA
RNA transcript from Solenopsis invicta (red fire ant), 1002 nucleotides. RefSeq lists it as uncharacterized. Lineage: Eukaryota; Metazoa; Arthropoda; Insecta; Hymenoptera; Formicidae. The record is from RefSeq and is a predicted model, not a curated record. The transcript is spliced from 5 exons.